This 143-nucleotide ribosomal RNA is filed under the name uncultured eukaryote. Its description in RNAcentral is "partial 18S ribosomal RNA". It matches the Rfam family "Eukaryotic small subunit ribosomal RNA", at positions 1299 to 1458 of the family's 1831-position model. The record is from RNAcentral.
UGGUGGAGUGAUUUGUCUGGUUAAUUCCGUUAACGAACGAGACCUCAGCCUACUAAAUAGUUGGGCGAAUCCUUUUGGAUUCGUGAUCAAACUUCUUAGAGGGACUAUUCGUGUUUAGCGAAUGGAAGUGUGAGGCAAUAACA